GUGAAGCCUAGAACCCUCCUUCCUCUCCCCUCCUGCCAGGGUUGCUGUGCAGGGAGUGUCGGCCACAUUUGGCGCACUGUCCCAGGCCCGGGGCGAAGGUGGCCAGGGGAAAUGGGGCUUAGGGAUUGCUAAGCAAACGUCACCAUUGGUGGUCUACAAGCGUCUGCGGAGUUUGAGGGAAGAGCAAGACGGUGGAGGAGGAGGAGACCUAAAUAUCAUCAGGUCCCAGGAAUUAAGCUAGAUCAUUAUCAAACCAUUCUGAACACCUACAAACGCAACAGGAGAGAGAAAAGAAGAAAAGCAGCAAUUCUAGGAAUAGAAAAUCGACCCCUUUCCAGAAGUCAUAUUCCAUCCCUUCAUUGUGUUUACAUGAAUAGAGGAAUGUUGAAAAAGAAAACCAAAGUCAGCAGCAUCACAAUUCCAGACUUCAAGCUCUAUUACAAAGCUGCAAUUAUCAAGACUACAGUAUGGUACUGGCACAAAAACAGACACAUAGAUCAAUGGAACAUAAGAGAGAGUUCAGAAAUGGACCCUCAACUCUAUGGUCAACUCAUCUUCAACAAAGCAGGAAAGAAUGUCCAAUGGAGAAAAGACAGUCUCUUCAACAAAUGGUGUUGGGAGAAUUGGACAGCCACAUGCAGAAGGAUGAAACUGGGCCAUUUCCUUACACCACACACAAAAAUAGACUCAAAAUGGAUGAAAUAUCUCAAUGUGAGACAGGAAUCUAUCAAAUUCCUUGAGGAGAAUGUAGGAAGCAACCUCUUUUACCUCAGCUGCAGCAAAUUCUUCCUAGAAAUAUCGCCAAAAGCAAGGGAAGCAAGGACAAAAAUGAACUGUUGUGACUUCAUCAAGAUAAAAACUUUUGCACUGCAAAGGAAGCUGUCAACAAAACCAAAAGACAACUGACAGAAUGGGAGAAGAUAUUUGCAAAUAACAGAUAAAGGGAUGGUAUCCAAAAUUUAUAAACAACUUAUCAAACUCAACACCCAAAGAACAAAAAUCCAACCAAGAAAUGGGCAGAAGACAUGAACAGACAUUUCUGCAAAGAAGACAUACAAAAGGCCAACAGACACAUAAAAAGUGCUCCACAUCACUUGGCAUCAGGGAAAUACAAAUCAAAACCACAGUGAUAUACCACCUCAUACCAGUGAGAUACCACCUCACACACAUCAGAAUGGCUAAAAUUAACAAGUCAGGAAACAACAGGUGUUGGCGAGGAUGCAGAGAAAGGGGAACCCUCCUGCACUGUUGGUGGGAAUGCAGGCUAGUGAAGCCACUCUGGAAAACAGUAUGGAGGUUCCUCAAAAAGUUGAAAAUAGGGCAUCUGGGUGGCUCAGUGGGUUAAAGCCUCUGCCUUCGGCUUAGUCAUGAUCCCAGGGUCCUGGGAUCAAGGCCCGCAUCGGGCUCUCUGCUCGGCUGGGAGCCUGCUUCCUCCUCUCUCUCUGCCUGCUUCUCUGCCUACUUGUGAUCUCUGUCUGUUAAAUAAAUAAAUAAAAAUCUUAAAAAAAAAAAAGUUGAAAAUAGAGCUACCCUAUGACCCAGCAAUUGCACUACUGGGUAUUUACCCUAAAGAUACAAAUGUAGUAACCCAAAUGUUUACAGCAGCAAUGUCCACAAUAGCCAAACUAUGGAAAGAACCUAGAUGCCCAUCAGCAGAUGAAUGGAUAAAGAAGAUGUGGUAUUAUAUAUACAAUGGAAUACUAUGCAACCAUCAAAAGACAUGAAAUGUUGCCAUUUACGGCGAUGUGAAUGGAACUAGAGGGUAUUAUGCUGAACGAAAUAAGUCAAUCAGAGAAAGACAAUUAUCAUAUGAUCUCCAUGAUAUGAGGAAGUUG
Long non-coding RNA from Mustela lutreola (European mink), 1835 nucleotides. RefSeq lists it as uncharacterized. The transcript is spliced from 3 exons. The record is from RefSeq and is a predicted model, not a curated record. Lineage: Eukaryota; Metazoa; Chordata; Mammalia; Carnivora; Mustelidae.